UGUUAUGUUAACAUGUGAAGAGUUGAACGAAACUUGGCAACAGUUCAAUUUAUAACUGUUGCUUCUCUUUGUUUGUUGUUAAUAAUUUCUCUGUUAAUUGUAUUGGUUUAAUUAUUUGUUUAAUAUUAGAGGUUUAAUUGUGGUUUCAAACAAGUUAGUGAUUUUAAUGGUCAAUUAUGGAUCACAGCAGUGACGAGGAAUCACCCAAUGUUUCAAAUCCAACUCAUUCGUUUACUAUGGUUGUUGAGAUGUCAAACCUUUUAAAAUGUGAUAUUGAUUUAGAGGAGUUAACUAUUGCUUACCGUUUGAUUGAAAGUAAUGUUAACUCAAAGCUUCUGGCUCAUGCAAUCAAAUCAAUGAAGAACCCUUGAUCUUUCAAGAUUUUUACAAGCAACUCAAACUAUUCUCUUCCUGAUUUUCUUCCUCGAUGCCUUAUAAAAUGCUUAAUGAACUACAAAUGUUUAUUUUCAACAGUUUUCAAUUCUGAAACAUGGUCGAACUACUUAUAAAAUAGCAAUAUACAUGUAUUACGAAUUUAAAACUAACUCAUAUCA
Tetranychus urticae (two-spotted spider mite) is the source of this 554-nucleotide long non-coding RNA. RefSeq lists it as uncharacterized. Lineage: Eukaryota; Metazoa; Arthropoda; Arachnida; Trombidiformes; Tetranychidae. The record is from RefSeq and is a predicted model, not a curated record.